Long non-coding RNA from Malaclemys terrapin pileata, 873 nucleotides. RefSeq lists it as uncharacterized. The record is from RefSeq and is a predicted model, not a curated record. The transcript is spliced from 2 exons. NCBI's taxonomy places the organism in Eukaryota, Metazoa, Chordata, Testudines, Emydidae.
UGCAAUCAGCCGCCAGGCCUGACCCAGAGGUGGCUGCAUCAUAAUGUUGGGGUGGGGGAAGAAAUGAGGCAAACUGCCCAAAAUUGGGGAGGGGGGAUCUUCUGCUCCUCUUGAUCCGGGGGCCUUGAAUCCCCACUGCAAAUCCUCUGCUCGUUAGCAGCAAUCAACCGAUACAGCAAUUAACUCCCGCUUGGUCCCAUCCCCGCAGGUCUUUGGGCUCCUGGCUGGCAUCCUGUUUGCAUAUGAUGCCUAUAUUACAUUCCCCACCCUCCGGAAAACCCACACAGCUGCCCCCACUGAAUCCCCGGAGGGUGUCUGAGGAGUCGCAGGACCCCGGCCCCCGCUUUGCUGCCUUCGCCCCCCCCCCCCCUCCCACCUCGCUGGUUCUUGUACAUACUGCUGGGGGGGCGGCAAAGCAGAGAUCCCCCCCGCAACUAAUCUCCCUCCAGCUCCCCAUCCCCAAUUCCUGCCCUGACCUCAGGGCCCCACCCAUGUUUAGAAGCCUUGACAAUGGGGAUAGCAUGGGGGGAGCCACCCGCCCACCCCAGCAAUGCCACCCCCACCUUCCUAGGUUGGCUGGAGUGAGGAUGAGGGCAGUGGGGUCUAGUGGUUAGAACAGGUGUGGGCGAGGGGGGGAGGGUUGGGAGCCAGGACUCCUGGGUUCUAUCCCCAGCUCAGGGCGGGGAGCGGGGUCUAGUGGGCUCUGUCCCCUUAUCAAGUGCCUUUACUCUUUCUGUGCCUCGGUUUCCCCUGGGCUAACAGGGUGUUACAUUGCCAGCUGUUUAGGGCUGAAUGACCCAUGUGUUUACGUAGGGCCUACCAGAACCGGAGCCCAUGGGAUGUUUUCAAGGGAAAUAAAUUUUAAUAUAAGGA